GAUGAAGAACGCAGCGAAAUGCGAUACUUGGUGUGAAUUGCAGAAUCCCGUGAACCAUCGAGUCUUUGAACGCAAGUUGCGCCCGAAGCCAUUAGGCCGAGGGCACGCCUGCCUGGGUGUCACACACCGUUACCCUCGCGCCAACGUCCAUCGUUGGCCGCGGCGCGGGGCGUGCGCUGACCUCCCGCGAGCGGGGUCUCGUGGUUGGUUGAAAAUCGAGUUCGCGGUCGAGGGUGCCGUGAUGAAAUGGUGGAUGGGCGACGCCCGAGGCCAAUCACGCGCGACUCUGUCCGGCUUGGACUCCUGGACCCCUUCGGCGUCUCCGGACGCUCUUUGGCGAGACCUCAGGUCAGGCGGGGCUACCCGCUGAGUUUAAGCAUAUCAAUAAGCGGAGGA
RNAcentral lists this unclassified non-coding RNA (396 nucleotides) under soil metagenome. RNAcentral describes it as "partial contains 5.8S ribosomal RNA, internal transcribed spacer 2, and large subunit ribosomal RNA". The stretch from base 1 to 122 matches the Rfam family "5.8S ribosomal RNA", at positions 35 to 154 of the family's 154-position model. The record is from RNAcentral.